RNAcentral lists this ribosomal RNA (547 nucleotides) under Russula cf. odorata VH-2016. RNAcentral describes it as "mitochondrial SSU rRNA". It matches the Rfam family "Bacterial small subunit ribosomal RNA", at positions 359 to 952 of the family's 1533-position model. Lineage: Eukaryota; Fungi; Basidiomycota; Agaricomycetes; Russulales; Russulaceae. The record is from RNAcentral.
GAAUAUUAGUCAAUGCUCGAAAGAGUGAACUAGCUAACUGAAAUCAAUUAAAAUAAUUGAUAACAUAAGGGAAAAUAAUGAUAUUACCUUAUUAUUAGUGUCGUCCAAAACUGGUGCCAGAAGACUCGGUAAGGCCAGAGACACAAACGUUAAUCGUCUUAAUCAGGCGUAAAGGGUUUGUAGGCGGCUUUAAAAUUUAAUUAAUAAAUCUAAUUAUUAAGUAAAGAAUAAAAGCUAGAAUCAAAUAGAGGAUAUAUGAAAGAAUGCUUAGAGUAGGUCUGAUAUCCUUAGAUACUAAGUAGAAUAUUAAAGGCGAAAGCUUUUUUCCAUUAAUGAUUGACGCUCAGAAACGAAGGUGAGGAUAGGAAAUAGGAUUAGAUACCCAGAAUACCCCUCUCUGUCAACGAUGAAUGGUAGUUAUUAGUAAAAAUUAUUAAUGGCAAUGUUAACACGAUAACCAUUCCGCCUUGUGAGUACAACUGCAAAGUUGAAAACAAAAAAAUUAGUCGGUUUCGGAGCAAACGAAGUGAAGCAUGUUAUUUAAUUC